Molecule: unclassified non-coding RNA, 193 nt
Filed under: soil metagenome
Description: partial contains 5.8S ribosomal RNA, internal transcribed spacer 2, and large subunit ribosomal RNA
Source: RNAcentral
AACGCACGAGACCUGCGGACCUGCGGAAGGAUCAUUACCGAGUUAUCCAACUCCCAACCCCUGUGAAUUAUACCUUUAAUUGUUGCUUCGGCGGGACUUCGCGCCCGCCGGGGACCCAAACCUUCUGAAUUUUUUAAUAAGUAUCUUCUGAGUGGUUAAAAGAAUGAAUCAAAACUUUCAACAAUGGAUCUCU